RNAcentral lists this ribosomal RNA (443 nucleotides) under uncultured bacterium. RNAcentral describes it as "partial 16S ribosomal RNA". It matches the Rfam family "Bacterial small subunit ribosomal RNA", at positions 338 to 795 of the family's 1533-position model. The record is from RNAcentral.
CCUACGGGAGGCAGCAGUGGGGAAUAUUGGGCAAUGGGCGCAAGCCUGACCCAGCAACGCCGCGUGAAGGAAGAAGGCUUUCGGGUUGUAAACUUCUUUUCUCAGGGACGAAGAAAGUGACGGUACCUGAGGAAUAAGCCACGGCUAACUACGUGCCAGCAGCCGCGGUAAUACGUAGGUGGCAAGCGUUAUCCGGAUUUAUUGGGUGUAAAGGGCGUGUAGGCGGGAGCGCAAGUCAGAUGUGAAAACUCAGGGCUCAACCCUGAGCCUGCAUUUGAAACUGUGUUUCUUGAGUGCUGGGGAGGCAAGCGGAAUUCCGGGUGUAGCGGUGAAAUGCGUAGAUAUACGGAGGAACACCAGUGGCGAAGGCGGAUUGCUGGACAGUAACUGACGCUGAGGCGCGAAAGCGUGGGGAGCAAACAGGAUUAGAUACCCUGGUAGUC